This 253-nucleotide ribosomal RNA is filed under the name uncultured bacterium. RNAcentral's name for it is "partial 16S ribosomal RNA". It matches the Rfam family "Bacterial small subunit ribosomal RNA", at positions 524 to 776 of the family's 1533-position model. The record is from RNAcentral.
UACGUAGGGUGCGAGCGUUAAUCGGAAUUACUGGGCGUAAAGCGUGCGCAGGCGGUUCGUUAAGUUCGUUGUGAAAGCCCCGGGCUCAACCUGGGAACUGCAAUGGAAACUGGCGGGCUUGAGUGUGGCAGAGGGGGGUGGAAUUCCGCGUGUAGCAGUGAAAUGCGUAGAGAUGCGGAGGAACGCCGAUGGCGAAGGCAGCCCCCUGGGCCAACACUGACGCUCAGGCACGAAAGCGUGGGGAGCAAACAGG